Molecule: long non-coding RNA, 273 nt
Filed under: Panax ginseng (ginseng)
Lineage: Eukaryota; Viridiplantae; Streptophyta; Magnoliopsida; Apiales; Araliaceae
Description: long non-coding RNA (PGIN_LNC011230)
Source: RNAcentral
UUUGGAUGUGAUGCAGUUGGUAAUCAAACUUCAUGUAGUUGGUUACCAAAUCAUUUGAUAAGGUAACCAAUUCAGUUUUAUUAGCUUACUAAUAUAUUUUGAAUGUGAUGCAGUUGGUAACCAAAAUUUAUGCAGUUGGUUACUAAACCUUCCGAUAAGGUAACCAAUUUAGUUUUAUUAGGUUACUAAUUUAUUUUGGAUGUGAUGCAGUUGGUAACCAAAUUUCAUAUAGUUGGUUACCAAACCAUUUGAUAAGGUAACCAAUUCAGUUUU